RNAcentral lists this ribosomal RNA (810 nucleotides) under Sutcliffiella horikoshii. Its description in RNAcentral is "bacterial SSU rRNA". It matches the Rfam family "Bacterial small subunit ribosomal RNA", at positions 69 to 860 of the family's 1533-position model. Lineage: Bacteria; Bacillati; Bacillota; Bacilli; Caryophanales; Bacillaceae. The record is from RNAcentral.
ACCUUUUAAAAGCUUGCUUUUGAAAGGUCAGCGGCGGACGGGUGAGUAACACGUGGGCAACCUGCCUGUAAGACUGGGAUAACUUCGGGAAACCGGAGCUAAUACCGGAUAAUAUAAGGAACCUCCUGGUUCUUUAUUGAAAGAUGGUUUCGGCUAUCACUUACAGAUGGGCCCGCGGCGCAUUAGCUAGUUGGUGAGGUAAUGGCUCACCAAGGCGACGAUGCGUAGCCGACCUGAGAGGGUGAUCGGCCACACUGGGACUGAGACACGGCCCAGACUCCUACGGGAGGCAGCAGUAGGGAAUCUUCCACAAUGGACGAAAGUCUGAUGGAGCAACGCCGCGUGAGCGAUGAAGGCCUUCGGGUCGUAAAGCUCUGUUGUUAGGGAAGAACAAGUGCGAGAGUAACUGCUCGCACCUUGACGGUACCUAACCAGAAAGCCACGGCUAACUACGUGCCAGCAGCCGCGGUAAUACGUAGGUGGCAAGCGUUGUCCGGAAUUAUUGGGCGUAAAGCGCGCGCAGGUGGUUCUUUAAGUCUGAUGUGAAAGCCCACGGCUCAACCGUGGAGGGUCAUUGGAAACUGGGGAACUUGAGUGCAGAAGAGGAAAGUGGAAUUCCAAGUGUAGCGGUGAAAUGCGUAGAGAUUUGGAGGAACACCAGUGGCGAAGGCGACUUUCUGGUCUGUAACUGACACUGAGGCGCGAAAGCGUGGGGAGCAAACAGGAUUAGAUACCCUGGUAGUCCACGCCGUAAACGAUGAGUGCUAAGUGUUAGAGGGUUUCCGCCCUUUAGUGCUGCAGCUAACGCAU